RNAcentral lists this ribosomal RNA (468 nucleotides) under uncultured bacterium. RNAcentral's name for it is "partial 16S ribosomal RNA". It matches the Rfam family "Bacterial small subunit ribosomal RNA", at positions 28 to 507 of the family's 1533-position model. The record is from RNAcentral.
GACGAACGCUGGCGGCGUGCUUAACACAUGCAAGUCGAACGAAAAGGCCCUGUUUUUGUGGGGUUCUUGGGGGGCGAACGGGUGAGUAACACGUAAGUUACCCGCCCCUUCCUUAUGGAUAACGUCAGGAAACGGGGGUAAAUACCGGAUCGGACCUUCUGCUGCAUGGGGGGGGAUGGAAAGUUUGGGUGGGUGGGGAUGGGCUGGCGACUUAUCAGCUUGUUGGUGGGGUGGUGGCUUACCAAGGGUUUGACGGGCAGCCGGCGUGAGAGGGUGGCCGGCCUCAGUGGGACAGAGAGACCAGACAGACUCCGGCGGGAGGCAGCAGUGGGGAAGAUUGCACGGUGGGCGGAAGCCGGAUGCAGGAAGGGCGCGUGAUGGCUGACGGCCGGUUGGUUGUAACCCGCUGUCGCCUGGAAGGAAGCGUGAGUGACGGUAAUGGGUGAAGAAGCGCCGGCUAACUACGUG